CAAAAAUCUUACCUAACUUUACAAAGAUGCCAAAAAAACAGAAGAAGGACAAAAUGGAAUCUAAGUCUUCCCAGAAUGAUAAGAUACAAGAUUUGGCUUCAGCUACGGAUGACCACGAUUACUGCCUUUCAGACGUGGAGCUUGAAAGUGACGGAGGGGAAAAAAGAAAUCUAGAGGAAAUGAAUGACUUGCUUAGUGAUCAUUCGAGUAAGGUUGUUAGACCUAGUCCCACAACAAGUGACAUUCUGGCAGCUAUUCAAGCUCUCCACGUGAGAUUUGAUAAACAAGAUGAUAAAAUGGCGGACAUUAACAACAAACUAUCGGAGAAUGCCUCGUUGAUUGCCAAUCUUGUUGAAUCUAUCGAGUUCAAUGCAGCUGAAGUCCGUGAUUGUAAAGAUAAAAUUGCGGGUUUGGAGAAGGAAGCCUCAACUUUACGGAGAGAAGUUGAUGAGCUCAAAGAAAAGGCAAGAGAACGAGACCGGUAUUCACGAAGGUGGAAUCUAAGGAUUAAAGGAAUGAAAGAAGGUAUGGGCGAAGAUAUCAGAAAAGAGGUGAUUAAAAUUCUCGCCAAGAUAGCCCCAGAAUGGUCUGAUAAUAUGGAGUACAUCGUCGACACUGUGCACUGGAUUGGAAGGAAAGAAGAGGGCAGAAAUCGCCAAGUCAUGAUUCAGUUCACGAAGCGCCUACAUCGAGAUGGAAUAUGGAAGAAGUCCAAAAACGCUCAGAUUUGUGAGACGGAAAAAAUCCGUUUUGCCGAGGAUUUGACGAAGGAGGAUCAUCUGGAACGGGAGAAAGUUUGGCCGAAAAUUUUACAAGCCAGAAAUGCGGGGGAGAAGGCUUACUACAGAGGAGCUGUCGGCUAUAUUAACGGCCGUCGCGUUCUGGCGGACGGCUGAAGGCUGUUUCACUUUUACUUGUUCUCUGAACUCUACCUAAAGAGGGACGCUUGACAGUUUUGAAUGGGAUGGGAGUUGCCGCACCGCUCUUCUUUCACCUUUCCCUAAACAGGAAAGUAAACUAAAAUUUUUUUUUGUACAUAGUUAAGUUUGAUAUUAUAAUACUUUGAACCUUUUUUUUUUUUGUUUAUUUUUAAUGCUACGCACGUGUUUAUCCUUUGUGUCGUUGAAUGUUAGAGGUCUCAGGGAUAAUGUUAAAAGGAAAGCAAUGUUUAUGUUUAUCAAAGGGCUAAAAGCGAAUUGUGUCUUACUACAAGAAACUCAUUCAAGUGACACUGAUGUCACCUUCUGGUCAAAUCAAUGGGGUGAUAAAAUCC
RNAcentral lists this long non-coding RNA (1273 nucleotides) under Oreochromis niloticus (Nile tilapia). RNAcentral describes it as "lncRNA (ENSONIG00000039749.1)". Lineage: Eukaryota; Metazoa; Chordata; Actinopteri; Cichliformes; Cichlidae. The record is from RNAcentral.